This 227-nucleotide ribosomal RNA is filed under the name uncultured bacterium. RNAcentral's name for it is "partial 16S ribosomal RNA". It matches the Rfam family "Bacterial small subunit ribosomal RNA", at positions 107 to 334 of the family's 1533-position model. The record is from RNAcentral.
UGAGUAACACGUAUCCAACCUGCCGUCUACUCUUGGACAGCCUUCUGAAAGGAAGAUUAAUACAAGAUGGCAUCAUGAGUCCGCAUGUUCACAUGAUUAAAGGUAUUCCGGUAGACGAUGGGGAUGCGUUCCAUUAGAUAGUAGGCGGGGUAACGGCCCACCUAGUCUUCGACGGAUAGGGGUUCUGAGAGGAAGGUCCCCCACAUUGGAACUGAGACACGGCCCAG